RNAcentral lists this long non-coding RNA (396 nucleotides) under Cyanistes caeruleus (blue tit). RNAcentral's name for it is "lncRNA (ENSCCEG00000000041.1)". The record is from RNAcentral. Lineage: Eukaryota; Metazoa; Chordata; Aves; Passeriformes; Paridae.
CCUCGUUCUCGGAAGAGGUGUAUCUUCUAGGUUACUGUCAAGUGCUUUAUUAGCAGAAUCGUUUUCAGAGGGCAGGGAAAAAGCAAUAAUCCCAACUGGCAGUCCAAAAAUAACCAGAUUGGAGGGUGGAAGGAAAAAGAAGGAAAAGGGAAGACUAAAAUGGAGAGAACAGUCAAGCAUCAAGUAUUGGAACUGACAUCUGAAUUAAAGAGUGUGCAAAAAAUCUCUUCCCUCUUUAACUAUUGGAACAACUAAAAUGGAAAACUGACUAAAAGAGGUGAGUCCUUUCCUCUGAUCAUUCUCCUUGAUCUCUCUCUGCAUUGCUUUUAUUCUUUUUCUCCAGAUCUGCCUCCUGCAAAGGCAGGCAGCCAAAUGAUUUCAAACUCUCAACUGCUU